This 253-nucleotide ribosomal RNA is filed under the name uncultured bacterium. RNAcentral describes it as "partial 16S ribosomal RNA". It matches the Rfam family "Bacterial small subunit ribosomal RNA", at positions 524 to 776 of the family's 1533-position model. The record is from RNAcentral.
UACGGAGGAUCCAAGCGUUAUCCGGAAUCAUUGGGUUUAAAGGGUCCGUAGGCGGUUUGGUAAGUCAGUGGUGAAAGCCCAUCGCUCAACGGUGGAACGGCCAUUGACACUGCCAGACUUGAAUUAUUAGGAAGUAACUAGAAUAUGUAGUGUAGCGGUGAAAUGCUUAGAGAUUACAUGGAAUACCAAUUGCGAAGGCAGGUUACUACUAAUGGAUUGACGCUGAUGGACGAAAGCGUGGGUAGCGAACAGG